UAGGGAAUAUUGCACAAUGGGCGAAAGCCUGAUGCAGCGACGCCGCGUGAGUGAUGAAGGCCUUCGGGUUGUAAAACUCUGUGAUAAGGGAAGAUAAUGACGGUACCUUAUCAGAAAGGACCGGCUAACUUCGUGCCAGCAGCCGCGGUAAUACGAGGGGUCCAAGCGUUGUUCGGAAUCACUGGGCGUAAAGCGGGUGUAGGUGGCUCUAUAAGUCACAUGUGAAAGCCCCGGGCUCAACCCGGGAAGUGCAUGUGAUACUGCAGAGCUUGAGUAAGGGAGAGGAUGGCAGAAUUCCUGGUGUAGUGGUGAAAUACGUAGAUAUCAGGAGGAACUCCGGUGGCGAAGGCGGCCAUCUGGCCCAUUACUGACACUCAGACCCGAAAGCGUGGGUAGCAAACAG
Molecule: ribosomal RNA, 403 nt
Filed under: uncultured bacterium
Lineage: Bacteria
Description: bacterial SSU rRNA
Rfam family: Bacterial small subunit ribosomal RNA
Source: RNAcentral